ACUACAUGAAGCUGGAAUCGCUAGUAAUCGCGAAUCAGAAUGUCGCGGUGAAUACGUUCCCGGGUCUUGUACACACCGCCCGUCACACCAUGGGAGUCAGUAACGCCCGAAGCCGGUGACCUAACCGAAAGGGAGGAGCCGUCGAAGGUGGGACCGAUAACUGGGGUGAAGUCGUAACAAGGUACC
RNAcentral lists this ribosomal RNA (186 nucleotides) under uncultured bacterium. Its description in RNAcentral is "partial 16S ribosomal RNA". It matches the Rfam family "Bacterial small subunit ribosomal RNA", at positions 1315 to 1500 of the family's 1533-position model. The record is from RNAcentral.